GUAUAGUUUGGCUGCACAUAUACUAAAAUUGGAACAAUACAGAUCAAAUUAGCAUGACCUCUGUGCCAGGCUGGCACAUAAAUUUGUGGUGCAGUGGUAGUGUGC
Rhincodon typus (whale shark) is the source of this 105-nucleotide small nuclear RNA. The record is from RefSeq and is a predicted model, not a curated record. NCBI's taxonomy places the organism in Eukaryota, Metazoa, Chordata, Chondrichthyes, Orectolobiformes, Rhincodontidae.